UCCAUGGUGACGUGGAAUCUGAAGGAAGUCGGACGCAAACUCUCGAACUGACGAACAGAAAUUGGAUACAAGGCUGACUUGGGACGGAUGAGCUUGCUAAACAAAGCGAAGUCCAAUACUGCCCAAAUCCCAUACAGUAAAUCCAGCAGUUACAUGAGAGGAAAGUGGUUGUG
This 173-nucleotide non-coding RNA is filed under the name Paenibacillus sp. PDC88. The record is from RNAcentral. Lineage: Bacteria; Bacillati; Bacillota; Bacilli; Caryophanales; Paenibacillaceae.